Molecule: unclassified non-coding RNA, 368 nt
Filed under: Hevea brasiliensis (rubber tree)
Lineage: Eukaryota; Viridiplantae; Streptophyta; Magnoliopsida; Malpighiales; Euphorbiaceae
Source: RNAcentral
AAACAAGUUGCGUGCUCAACCAUCAGGAUGAUUAAUUUUUGCAAUGCUUCUUUGUUUUUCAUCUCUCCCAUGUUUUUAUGUUUGAAAAUCUAUUGUUUGUAAAUUAUUGGAUGUAAAUGUUGGAUAGCAUGCAGAGAGAAUCUCCCAUGUCAUUUUUAGACUGCAUCUUGUUGUAGGCAUUUUUUUAAGAUUUAAUUUUUCCUUUUUCCCUUCUAUAUUCUAGGUUGAGGAGGAGGUGAGUUGGUCGCUAUUUCUGUAUUUUGGUUUUGUGUAGGUUUUGUAAUCUUCGGCAUGAAUACAGAAAAUUUUCAGUCAUAUGUUGUUGAAACUAUUGGUGAGCAUGCUUAGCCUUGCUUUUUGCUUAUGGU